Molecule: ribosomal RNA, 429 nt
Filed under: uncultured Sinobacteraceae bacterium
Lineage: Bacteria; Pseudomonadati; Pseudomonadota; Gammaproteobacteria; Nevskiales; Nevskiaceae
Description: bacterial SSU rRNA
Rfam family: Bacterial small subunit ribosomal RNA
Source: RNAcentral
UGGGGAAUAUUGGACAAUGGGGGCAACCCUGAUCCAGCGACGCCGCGUGUGUGAAGAAGGCCUGCGGGUUGUAAAGCACUUUUAGUGGGGAUGAAAAGCACACUACUAACACUGGUGUGUCUUGACCUAACCCAAAGAAAAAGCACCGGCUAACUCUGUGCCAGCAGCCGCGGUAAUACAGAGGGUGCGAGCGUUAAUCGGAAUUACUGGGCGUAAAGCGUGCGUAGACGGUUAUUUAAGUCGGGUGUGAAAGCCCCGGGCUCAACCUGGGAAUUGCAUUCGAGACUGAAUAGCUAGGGUACGGUAGAGGGAAGUGGAAUUUCCGGUGUAGCGGUGAAAUGCGUAGAUAUCGGAAGGAACAUCAGUGGCGAAAGCGACUUCCUGGACCAGUACCGACGUUCAGGCACGAAAGCGUGGGGAGCAAACAGG